RNAcentral lists this long non-coding RNA (20629 nucleotides) under Hordeum vulgare. RNAcentral's name for it is "long non-coding RNA (HVUL_LNC000103)". Lineage: Eukaryota; Viridiplantae; Streptophyta; Magnoliopsida; Poales; Poaceae. The record is from RNAcentral.
GAAAUGGUUGUUUUGGUUGCACAUGGUAUGAUUGUUGGGGUUGCUGGAAAAUUAUUUGUUGUGGUUGUUGGGGAAAUGGUUGUUGUGGUAGUUUGGGGAAUGGUUGUUUCGGUUGCAGAGGGAAUGGUUGUUGUGGUUGCUGCGAGAAUGAUUGUUGUGGUUGCUGCGCAAUUGGUUGUUGGGGCUGCAGAAAUGGUUGUUGUGGUUGCCAGGGGAAUGGUUGUUGUGGUUGCAGGGGAAAUGGUUGUUGAGGCUGGGGAAAUGGUUGUUGUGGUUGCGAGGGGAAUGUUUGUUUGGGCUGAGGAAAAGGUUGUUGUGGUUGCUGGGGGAAUGGUUGUUGUGGUUGCUGGGGUAUUGUUUGUUGUGGUUGCUGGGUGAAUGGUUGUUGUGGUUGGUAGGGAAUUGGUUGUUGGGGCUGGGGAAAUGGUUGUUGUGGUUGCGAGGGGAAUGGUUGUUAGGGCUGAGGAAACGGUUGUUGUGGUUGCUGGAGGAAUGGUUGUUGUGGUUUCUCGGGAAUUAUUUGUUGUGGUUGUUGGGGGAAUGGUUGUUGUGGUUGCUGGAGAAUUGGUUCUUGGGGCUGCGGAAAUGGUUGUUGUGGUUGCCAGGGGGAUGGUUGUUGGGGCCGAGGAAGAGGUUGUUGGGGUGGUUGGGGGAAUGGUUGUUGUGGUUGUAGGGGGGUUGGUAUUUGAUAUUNNNNNNNNNNNNNNNNNNNNNNNNNNNNNNNNNNNNNNNNNNNNNNNNNNNNNNNNNNNNNNNNNNNNNNNNNNNNNNNNNNNNNNNNNNNNNNNNNNNNCCACCCUCUCGUGGGUCUUUGCUUCAUAAAUCAUUAUAAUUCCCAUAAAGAAUUCACAAAAAAAAUUGUCCAAUUCCGAGAACUUUUAUUUAUGCAUAAAAUAUAUUGAAGGUAGUUCCGUAGAAAAGAGCACCAGUGCGGGUUAGUUUUAUUCAAAUCAUGCAAAUUAGAGUCCAAAAAAAGAACAAAAGUGUUUGGAAAAGUAGAUACAUUGGAGACGUAUCAGCCAUCGACAAGGAGGAACACCCUUGUACUAUCAUUAUGCUCUGAUAAUUGUUAUGUCAUGCAGAUGGCUAGGCUGAGGCACUGCAUAUGUAGGGUGAAGAUGGUUUAGAUAUGAAAUCAUGUCCCUCAGGCCCUAGUAGCAAGCAUUAAGCAUGGCAAGGUCACAGGAACAUCAAUCUCAUAACAUAGUGGAUACUAGGGAUCAAGCCAUAUCAAAAUAACUCGAUUACAAGACAAAUAUUAUCCAAUCCAGCUAGCAUACAAAGGAAUUACUCACUCCCGUUGAAGAGCAUCAAGAUGGUGUUGAUAGAGAAGGGUUGGUCAUGACGACAAUGAUGAAUCUCCCUCUCCGGAGCCCCAAACUGACUCCAGAUCAUCCCUCUUGUGGACGAACGGGAGGUGGCAACAGCUCCAUCUCAUAGAACGCAAUGAAAACUUCUCUCCUACUUUUCUCCGGAAAUAAGAAUUUAUAGGAUUGGAAUUAGGGUAUGUGGAGCCACGAGGUGGUCACAAGCCAAGAGGGCGCGCUUAGGGGGGUGGUCGCACCCUGUUUUUCUUGGCACCAACAGNNNNNNNNNNNNNNNNNNNNNNNNNNNNNNNNNNNNNNNNNNNNNNNNNNNNNNNNNNNNNNNNNNNNNNNNNNNNNNNNNNNNNNNNNNNNNNNNNNNNAGAGGCAAGACCUAGAUUAUGUGUGUAGUGUAAAGUAAAAAAAAUGACUCAUCAUUCAUUAUGGAUCAUGACUUACAACCAGAUGAUAUUUGCAAAAAAAACAACUAUGUUGAGCAAUCCAAAAUCACACAAGUAAAGUAGUACCACCAAACACAACAUACCAAACGAUUAGUUGGAUAAUCUUAGGAGUACUUUUUCGAAAAGCAAGGGCAAGGAUGGAAUUAAACCAUACCAUGAUAGCUAUAAAUAAACAUGCACCAUCAUGGUUACCUUCCAUCAUCCAAACUUUACACACCAAGAUCAGAAACAUCUAUUCCAAGCAAGCAAUAGUAACCAAAAAUCCAACAUGAAGACGUUCCUCACCUUUGUCCUCCUUGCCAUGGCGAUGAGCAUCGUCACUACCGCUGGGCAGCUAAACCCUAGCUACCAAGAGUUGCAAUCACCACAACAACCAUUUCUGAAACAACAAUCAUAUCUGCAGCAACCAUAUCCACAACAACCAUAUCUACCGCAGCAACCAUUCCCCACACCCCAACAAUUUUUCCCCUAUCUACCACAGCAAACAUUUCCCCCAUCCCAACAACCAAACCCCCUACAACCACAACAACCAUUCCCCCUGCAACCCCAACCACCACAACAACCUUUUCCUCAGUCCCAACAACCAUUCACCUGGCAACCACAACAACCUUUUUCCCAGCCCCAACAACCAAUUCCCCAGCAACCACAACAACCGUUCCCCUAGCAACCACAACAAAUAAUUCCCCAACAACCACAACAACCAUUCUCCCUGCAACCCCAACAACCACAUCAACCUUUUCCUCGGCCCCAACAACCAUUCCCCUGGCAACCACAACAACCAUUUUCCCGGCCCCACCAACCAAUUCCCCAGGAACCACAACAACCAUUCCCCCAGCAACCACAACAAAUAGUACCCCAGCAACCACAACAACCAUUCCCCCAGCAACCACAACAACCUUNNNNNNNNNNNNNNNNNNNNNNNNNNNNNNNNNNNNNNNNNNNNNNNNNNNNNNNNNNNNNNNNNNNNNNNNNNNNNNNNNNNNNNNNNNNNNNNNNNNNGAGGUGUAAACGAUAGAUGUGAAUAGACCUGGGGGCCGUAGUGUUUACUAGUGGCUUCUCUCAUGAAAGCAAGUAGACGGUGGGUGAACAAAUUACUGUCGAGCAAUUGAUAGAACCGCGCAAAGUCGUGACAAUAUCUAUGCAAUGAUUAUAUCUAUAGGCAUCAUGUCCAAAACAAGUAGACCGAUACUUUCUGCAUCUACUACUAUUACUCCACACAUCGACCGCUAUCCAGCAUGCAACUAGUGUAUUAAGUCCAUAAGAACAGAGUAAUGCCUUAAGCAAGAUGACAUGAUGUAGAGGGAUAAUCUCAAACCAAUGAUAAAAACCCCGUCUUUUUACCCUUGAUGGCAACUACUUGAUGUGUGCCUUGCUACCCCUACUGUCACUGGGAAAGGUCACCACAUGGCAGAACCCAAAACCAAGCACUUCUCCCAUUGCAAGAAUCAUAGAUCUAGUUGGCCAAACAAAACCCAAGACUUCGAGAGACUUACAAGGAUAUCAAAUCAUGCAUAUAAGAAAUCAACAAAUACUCAAAUAUAUAUCAUAGAUAAUCUGAUCACAAAUCCACAAUUCAUCGGAUCUCGACAAACACACCGCCAAAGAAGAUUACAUCGGAUAGAUCUCCAUGAAGAUCAUGGAGAACUUUGUAUUGAAGAUCCAAGAGAGAUAAGAAGCCAUCUAGCUACUAACUACGGAUCUGUAGGUCUGAAGUGAACUACUCAUGAGUCAUUGGAGGGGCGAUGAUGAUGAUGAAGAAGCCCUCCAACUCCANNNNNNNNNNNNNNNNNNNNNNNNNNNNNNNNNNNNNNNNNNNNNNNNNNNNNNNNNNNNNNNNNNNNNNNNNNNNNNNNNNNNNNNNNNNNNNNNNNNNUCACAGGCCCCCUGAUCUUCUUCCGUUCGGGAAAAAAUCAUUUCGGGGAUUUUAUUCCGUUUGGAGUCCGUUCUAAAAUCAGAUCUAAAAAGAGCCAAAAAGACAGAAAAAGAGGAAUUGGCAAUUGGCACUGAAUUAAUAAGUUAGUCCCAAAAAAAUAUAAAAGGUACAUAAAACAUCCAAAGAUGACAAGAUAACAGCAUGAAACCAUCAAAAAUUAUAGAUACGUUUGAGACGUAUCAAGCAUCCCCAAGCUUAACUCCUGCUCGUCCUCGAGUAGGGAAGUGAUAAAGAAUGAAUUUUUGAUGCUUUCNNNNNNNNNNCUUAUGUGACGUGAAAGUUCAGAUCCAUUAGAUUCAAAACAAUAGUUUGCUAUUGACGUGGAAACAAUAAUACUUCAAGCAAACUAGCAAGGUAAUCAUGAACUUUCAAAAUAACAAGGCCAAAAGAAAGUUAUCCCUACAAAAGCAUAUAGUCUGGCUAUGCUCUAUCAUCAUUGCACAACGAAUUUAAAUCAUGCACAACCCCGGUAUUGGCCAAGUAAUUGUUUCACACCUUUACUUUCUCAAACCUUUUCAACUCUCACGCAAUACAUGAGCGUGAGCCAUGGUUUAUAGCACUAUAGAUGGUGUGGAGUGUGGUGGAGGUUGCAAGACAAAAAAGGAGAAGAUAGUCACAUUAACUAGGCAUAUCAAUGAGCUAUGGAGAUGCUCAUAAAUAGAUAUCAAUGUGAAUGAGUAGGGAUUUCCAUACAAAUGAUGCACUAGAGCUACGAGUAAGUGAAACCUCUUAAAGAAAACUAGUGUGUGUGCAUCCAACUUGCUUGCUCACGAAGACCUAAGGCAAUUUUGAGGAAGCCUAUCAUUGGAAUAUACAAGCCAAGUUAUAUAACGAAAAUUUCCCACUAGCUAUAUGGUGGUGACAGAACGAGAGACUCUCAAUCAUGAAGAUCAUGGUGCUUAAUAUGCACAAGUGUGGAAAAAGUGGUAGCAUUGUCCCUUCUCUCUUUUUCUCUCAUUUAUUUUGGUGGGCUCUUUGGCCUCUUUUUUUGGUUGGCUUCUUUGGCCUCUUUUAUUUCCUCACAUGGGACAAUGCUUCAUUAAUGAUGAUCAUAACACUUUCAACUCAAAACUUAGAGCAACAAUGACUCUAUAUGGAAUGCCUUCGGUAGUGUACCGUGGCAAUGAUCUAGCAUGGCAUAGACAUUAAUGGAAACAUUAUGCUAGCUAUCUUGCGAUCAUGCAAUGGAAAUGUAGACGUGGUGGCACAUGUCAUGGUGGUAGUUGCAUGGCAAUAUAUCUCGGAAUGACUUUGAAAGAGCAUGGUAGUUAGGUAUGGUGGAUGUUCUGAUGGAGGCUAAUGGUGGGUUUUGUGCACCGGCGGAAGUUGCACGGCACUAAAGAAGAUAGUGAUGGUGGAAGGUGAAAGUGCAUCUUAACCAUGGACUCAACAUUAGUCAUGAAGAACUCAUAUACUUGUUGCAAAAGUUUUAUUAGUAAUUGAAACAAAGAAUUCAACGCAUACUCCUAGGGGAAGGGUUGGUAGGUAUAAACCAUCGCNNNNNNNNNNUGCAAAGGAUGACAAUCAAUAGACUAAUCAUGCUCAGAUUUCAUCACAUAGCGGUUCACCAUACGUGCAUGCUACGGGAAUCACUAACUUCAACACAAGUAUUUCUAGAUCCAGAACACCUUACUAGCAUGACUUUAAUAUUACCAUAACCACAACUCAAAACUAAUUGAGAUAAAUCAAACUUCUCUAACUAUUCAAUGCACAUGAAGGUGGAAGUUUUCGUAUCCCUUUGGAUAACUACCCGUUUUGAGUCUACUUUCAAAACAUAGAUACACUACCAAGCCACGCACCGCUGUGCUCUAAAAUAUAUAAGUGAUGCACACAGAGCAAAAGUAUCUAGCUCAAAAGAUAUAAGUGAAGCACAUGUGAGCUGAAUUGUCUACCAAAAGAUAUAAGUGAAGCUCGACAAAAUCACAGUGAGUGCAUGUCUCUCUCUCUCUAGGUGUGCAGCAAGGAUGAUUGUGACACAACAAAAAUAAAAGACUCCUACGAUACAAGACACUCCAAGCAAAAACACAUAACAUGUGGUGAAUAAAAAUAUAGCCCCAAGUAACAUUAUCGAUGGAUUGAAGACGAGAGAGGGGAUGCCUUCCCGGGGCAUCCCCAAGCUUAGGCUUUUACGGAAUCCUUGAAUCUCUUGGGGUGCCUUGGGCAUCCCCAAGCUUGAGCUCUUUCCACUCAUUAUCUCUUUCACCAUAAGAACUUCACCCAAAACUUGAAAACUUCACAACACGAAACUUAAACAGAAACUCAUGAUAACAUUAGUAUGAGAAAGCAAACCACCAGUUCCUUAGGUACUGUAGAAAACUUAAAUUAUACAUAGGCUUAUGUUGGGUUACUGUAUUUUCAAUCUUCCAUGGCUAAUACCCCCCAAUACUAUCCAUAGUUUCAUCAAAAUAAGCAACCAACACAACAAAAACAGAAUAUGUUAACAGCAGACCAGUCUGUAGCAAUCUGUAUAUUGCGUAUACCUCUGGUACUUCAAAAAUUCUGAAAACUUACGACAGUCUGAAGAAUUUGCAUAGCAAUCAGCAGCAAAAAGAAUGAACUCAAAAGCUCUUACAGAAAAAAAAAUCUUUUCGUGAGCAGAAAGUUUCUGUCUUUUGCAGCAUGACCAAACGAUCAUUCCCAAGACUAAUCAUAACGGUUUUGCUUGGCACAAACGCAAAAAGAAACACAAAAAACACAAUCAUAACAAAAUUAUGAAAGUGUGGAAAACACAAAACAGAAAGAAAAAGGAUAGAUUCGUUGGGUUGCCUCCCAACAAGCGCUUUUGUUUAACGCCCUUAGUUAGGCGAAAGGUGAUGGAAUCACGUAUAGUCAUCUUUGGUGCUCAAACCAUAAGNNNNNNNNNNCCCUCUUCAUAGAUUCAUAAGGCAAUCUUAUUUUAUUUCUAGGAAAGUGCUCCAUGCCCUUCUUUAAAGGAAAUUGAAAUCUAAUGUUCUCUUCCUUCAUAUCGAUGAUAGCACCAAUAGUCCUUUGGAAAGGUCUACCAAGAAUAGUGGGACAUGAAGGGUUGCAAUCUAUGUCAAGUACAAUGAAAUCCACGGGUACAUAGUUCUUAUUUGCAACAAUAAGAACAUCAUCGAUCCUUCCCAUGGGUUUCUUGACAGUAGAAUCCGCAAGAUGCAAAUUAAGAGAACACUCUUCAAUCUCAUGAAAACCAAGAAUAUCACAUAAAGACUUUGGAAUCGCGGAAACACUAGCACCCAAAUCACACAAAGCAUUGCACUCAUAGUUUUUGAUCUUGAUUUUGAUAGUAGGUUCCCACUCAUCAUGAAGUUUUCUAGGUAUAGAGACUUCUAGUUCGAGCUUCUCUUGAAGAGAUUUCAUCAUAGCAUCUACGAUAUGCGCGGGAAAGGCUUUGCUUUGGCUAUAAGCAUUUGGAGAGUUUGCAAUGGAUUGCAUCAAAGAAAUGCAUUCAAACAAGGAGCAAUUAUCAUAAUUGAAUUCCUUGAAAUCCAAAGUGGGAGUUUCAUUACUAUCCAAAAUUUUGACUUCUUCUACUCCACUCUCCACACCUUUAUCAUCAAGAUGGGUGGACUCCGAAUCAUUGGGGCGUUUUUCAACCCAAGUGGAUUCAUAUCCAGGCCCUACAUAAAUAGGUUUGACACACGAAAACAAAGAUUAAAGAGGAGACACACCAAGCACUUUAAGAUCUUCGUGAUUUGCAUCACUAGAACGCACCCUUUUAAACCAUUCAUGCCUAGCGCGAAUUUGGGUGGUUCUUUCUUUGCUCUCAUUCAUGGAGACACGCAUAGCUUUCAAAGUUUCAUCCAAGUUGACCUUGGGAGGAGCGCAUCUAACUUUCAAAGCAUCAAUAUCACAAGACAUCCUAUCAAUGCUCUUAGCCAAAUCGUCAAUUUUGAGUAGUCUUUCCUCUAUGGACGCAUUGCAAAUCUUUUGAGAGUUAAUGAACUCUUUGAUAUUACUCUCUAAAUAAGAGGGUAAUUUGUUGUGAUUUCCAUAAGUGUUGUUGUAGGAACUGCCAUAAUUGUUAGAGGAGUUACUAGGAAAAGGCCUAGGAACAUAGUUUCCUCUAAAAGCAUUGUUGUUGCCAAAAUUGUUCGUACCAACAAAAUUCACGUCCAAACUAGCGUUGCUACUCUCAAUCAAAGAAGAUAGUGGCAAGUCAUUAGGAUCUACGGUAGCAUUUCUACUAGCAACCAAAUUCAUCAACUCGUCCAUCUUAGCACUGAGCGAGUUAAUUUCUUCUAUAGUGUGCACCUUUUUGCUAGCAGGCGACCUUUCAGUGUGCCACUGAGAGUAGUUGGUCAUGAUAUUGUCUAGGAGUUUUGUAGCGUCUCCUAACGUGAUUUCCAUGAACGUUCCACCUGAGGCGGAGUCCAAGAUAUUGCGAGAAGCGAAAUUCAAGCCAGCGUAAAAGAUUUGUAUAAUCAUCCACAAACUCAAGCCAUGAGCGGGACAAUUUCUAAUCAUAAGCUUCAUCCUCUCCCAAGAUUGUGCAACGUGUUCAUGAUCAAGUUGCUUGAAAUUCAUGAUAUCGUUGCGUAAGGAGAUGAUCUUAGCCGGUGGAAAAUACUUGGAUAUGUAAGCAUCUUUGCAAUUAUCCCAAGAAUCGAUACUAUUUUUAGGCAAAGAAGAAAACCAAGUUUUUGCGCGAUCUCGCAACGAGAAAGGANNNNNNNNNNUUUCAACUUAAUCACGUCAUUAUCCACAUCUCUUUUAUUUUGCAUAUCACAAAGCUCAAUGAAGGUAUUGAGAUGGGAUGCGGCAUCUUCACUAGGAAGGCCAGAGAAUUUCUCUUUCAUAACAAGAUUCAGCAAAGCUGCGUUGAUUUCAUACGAUUCCGCACUAGUCGUGGGAGCAAUCAGAGUACUAAUAAAAUCAUUAUUAUUACUGCUCGAGAAGUCGCAAAGUUUGGUGUUUUCAGCCAUGAUGACUUCAACAAACAAACAAGCACACAAGAAAGCAAGAAAACCGGCAAAGGGAAACGACAAAGUCAAAAAAGGCGAAGGAGAAAGGCAAAUGAAAACGACAAAUGUGAAGUGGGGGAGAGGAAAACGAGAGGCAACUGGCAACAAAAGUAAAUUCAAGAGAUGAGUUUGUGAGACCUACUUGGAUAGAUGUUGAUCUCUCCUCCCUGGCAACGGCGCCAGAAAUACUUCUGAUGUCAGCUGUGCUUCCCUGGUAACGGCGACAGGAAUAGUCGUGUCGACGGCACCAGGAAUCCUUCUGCUGCGGCUACGCCUUAAGGGACUUCCUAGGCAAAUAUGCAAAGGAUUUCCCCCGUGGCCUUGGAGCCUUGCGUUGGUGUUCCCUCGAAGCAGAAAGGGUGAUGUAGCAUAGCGGUGGUAAGUAUUUCCCUCAGUUUGAGAACCAAGAUAUCGAUCCAGUGGAGGAGUAUCACAAGAUCCUGCACAAACACAGAAAACUUGCUCCCAAUGCUAUGAAGGGUUGUCAAUCCCUUAUAGAUUGUUCGCCAAGUGAGAACUGAAAGCAACAAAGUAACAAAGAAAAGUAAAAGCGGAGGUGUAAACGAUAGAUGUGAAUAGACCCGGGGGCCGUAGUGUUUACUAGUGGCUUCUCUCAUGAAAGAAAGUAGACGGUAGGUGAACAAAUUACUGUCGAGCAAUUGAUAGAACCGCGCAAAGUCGUGAUGUCAUCUAUGGCAAUGAUUAUAUCUAUAGCCAUCACGUCCAAAACAAGUAGACCGAUACUGUCUGCAUCUACUACUAUUACUCCACACGUCAACCGCUAUCCAGCAUGCAUCUAGUGUAUUAAGUCCAAAAGAACAGAGUAAUGCCUUAAGCAAGAUGACAUGAUGUAGAUGGACAAUCUCAUAUCAACGACAGAGCCCAGCUUGUUACCCUUGAUGGCAACGACUUAAUGUGUGCCUUGCUGCCCCUACUGUCACUGGGAAAGGUCACCACAUGGUAGAGACCAAAACCAAGCACUUCUCCCAUUGCAAGAAUCAUAGAUCUAGUUGGCNNNNNNNNNNNNNNNNNNNNNNNNNNNNNNNNNNNNNNNNNNNNNNNNNNNNNNNNNNNNNNNNNNNNNNNNNNNNNNNNNNNNNNNNNNNNNNNNNNNNUACCCCAGCAACCACAACAACCAUUCCCCCAGCAACCACAACAACCUUUUCCUCAGCCCCAACAACCAUUCCCUUGGCAACCACAACAACCAUUUCUCCAGCCCCUACAACUAUUUCCCUAGCAAGCACAACAACCAUUACCCUUGCAACCACAACUACCAUUUCCGCAGCCCCAACAACCAAUUGGACAGCAACCACAACAACCAUUCCUGCGGCAACCACAACAAAUAAUUCCCCAGCAACCACAACAACCAUUCCCCCUGCAGCCGCAACAACCAUUCCCCGAACAACCACAACAAACACUUCCCCAACAACCACAACAAAUAAUUUCCCAGCAACCACAACAACCAUUCCCCAGCAACCUCAACAACCAUUCCUUCUGCAGCCACACCAACCUCAGCAACCUUAUGCACAACAAGACAUCUAGAGUGAUUUAGCCCUCUUGGGCUAAUGAAGCAAAAAGUUGUAAUACUAGAUGGGUGUAUCAUCGUUUUUUAGUCAAUGAGUGUUCAGUGUAAUGAUGAUAAAUAAAGUGAUGUGCACCAUCAUGUGUAAUCCCGACCUAUACUAGNNNNNNNNNNNNNNNNNNNNNNNNNNNNNNNNNNNNNNNNNNNNNNNNNNNNNNNNNNNNNNNNNNNNNNNNNNNNNNNNNNNNNNNNNNNNNNNNNNNNAUUCUGAGGUUGCCCUCCUGCUAGAUAGAAUUUCCCCCAUCAGAUAGAAUUUCCCCCAUCAGACCAUGACGGAUCAAGUAACAUAAACCACGUGUCUUCCAAUGCCAUAGAUCAAUGGAUGGAGACAAACUUCAUAACACCUAGAAUAAAUGUGUGUAAUAUAGAUUAGUAUAGCAAAAAUGGAUUAAAGCCAGCAGUUAUUAUAAAGUCCUACCAUAUGGAUGGUUAUUGAAUACUCUAAUUAGUAUUGUAAUAGAAUAGAUAGAUGGACAAAUGAACAAAUAAAACAACACAAAAUUUUGAAGAUACAUACCUCAGUUUAGUCUGUGGAGAAGCGGCUAUGAAAUCCAAAGUUNNNNNNNNNNUGAUGGGUGGAAGCAUCCAGCUACACAACACAAUUUGUAAAUACUAGUUGAGCAACACACGAAUCUGAUUGGAAAAAUAAGAGAUGACAAAAACACUGGUUGCAUCUGAGGAGGAACUCUACACAGGCAGAGGCCACGGACAGACACAUGCAACUUCUAAACCUUGCAGCCGUUACACAAAUCCUACCUUGCAGUUGUGACACAGAUCUAUCGAGGACAAAUUCUGAGGUUGCCCUCCUGCUAGAUAGAAUUUCCCCCAUCAGACCAUGACGGAUCAAGUAACAUAAACCNNNNNNNNNNNNNNNNNNNNNNNNNNNNNNNNNNNNNNNNNNNNNNNNNNNNNNNNNNNNNNNNNNNNNNNNNNNNNNNNNNNNNNNNNNNNNNNNNNNNGGCUUUCCUGCCUUGGCCCUCAAGUCCCCUCAUCUUCUUCCGUUCUGGAAAAAAUUAUUUUGGAGAUUUUAUUCCGUUUGGACUCCGUUCCAAAAUCAGAUAUGAAAAGAGUCAAAAACACAGAAAAAACAGGAACUGGCACUUGGCACUGAUUUAAUAAGUUAGUCCCAAAAAAGAUAUAAAAGGUACAUAAAACAUCCAAAGUUGACAAGAUAACAUCAUGAAACCAUCAAAAAUUAUAGAUACGUUUGAGACGUAUCAAGCAUUCCCAAGCUUAACUCCUACUCGUCCUCGAGUAGGGAAGUGAUAAAGAAUGAAUUUUUGAUGCUUUCNNNNNNNNNNGUUAUGUGACGUGAAAGUUCAGAUCCAUUAGAUUCUAAACAAUAGUUUGCUAUUAACGUGGAAACAAUAAUACUUCAAGCAAACUAGCACGGUAAUCAUGAACUUUCAAAAUAGCAAGGCCAAAAUAAAGUUAAACCUACAAAAACAUAUAGUCUGGCUAUGCUCUAUCAUCAUUGCACAACGAAUUUAAAUCAUGCACAACCCCGGUAUUGGCCAAGCAAUACAUGAGCGUGAGCCAUGGUUUUAGAACUAUAAGUGGUGUGGAGUGUGGUGGAGGUUGCAAGAAAAACAAGGAAAAGAUGGUCACAUUAACUAGGCAUAUCAAUGAGCUGUGGAGAUGAUCAUCAAUAGAUAUCAAUGUGAAUGAGUAGGGAUUGCUAUACAAAUGAUGCACUAGAGCUAAGAGUAUGUGAAAGCUCUUAAAGAAAACUAGUGGGUGUGCAUCCAACUUGCUUGCUCACGAAGCCCUAAAGCAAAUUUGAGGAAGCCUAUCAUUGGAAUAUACAAGCCAAGUUAUAUAAUGAAAAUUUCCCACUAGCUAUAUGGUGGUGACAAAAUGAGAGACUCUCAAUCAUGAAGAUCAUGGUGCUUAAUAAGCACAAGUGUGGAAGGAUAGUAGCAUUGUCCCUUCUCUCUUUUUCUCUCAUAUUUUUUUGGUGGGCUCUUGGGCCUCUUUUUUUAAAUUUUGGUGGGCAUCUUUGGCCUCUUUUAUUUCCUCACAUGGGAAAAUGCUCCAUCAAUUAUGAUCAUUACACUUACAACUCAAAACUUAGAACAACGAUGACUCUAUAUGGAAUGCCUUCGGUAGUGUACCGUGGCAAUGAUCUANNNNNNNNNNCAUGCUAGCUAUCUUACGAUCAUGCAAUGGCAAUGUAGACGUGGUGGUACAUGUCAUGGUGGUAGUUGCAUGGCAACAUAUCUCGGAAUGACUUUGAAAAAGCCAUAGUAGGUAGGUAUGGUGGCUGUUUUGAGGGAGGCUAAUGGUGGGUUUUGUGCACCGGCGAAAGUUGCACGGCACUAAGAAGAUAAUGAUGGUGGAAGGUGAAAGUGCAUCUAAACCAUGGACUCAACAUUAAUCAUGAAGAACUCAUAUACUUGUUGCAAAAGUGUUAGUAGUAAUCGAAACAAAGCAUUCAACGCAUACUCCUAGGGGAAGGGUUGGUAGGUAUAAACCAUCGCGCGAUCCCGACCGCCACACAAAGGAUGACAAUCAAUAGACUAAUCAUGCUCAGACUUCAUCACAUUGCGGUUCACCAUACGUGCAUGCUACGGGAAUCACUAACUUCAACACAAGUAUUUCUAGAUCCACAACACCUUACUAGCAGAACUUCAAUAUUGCCACAACCACAACUCAAAAUUGAUUGAGAUGAAUCAAACUUCUCUAACUAUUCAAUGCACAUGAAGGUGGAAGUUUUCAUAUCCCUUUGGAUAACUAUCCCUUUUGAGACUACUUUCAAAGCAUAGAUCAACUACCAAGCCACGCACCGUCGUGCUCUAAAAGAUAUAAGUGAAGCACAUAGAGAAAAAUCAACUAGCUCAAAAGAUAUAAGUGAAGCACAUGUGAGCUGAUUUGUCUACCAAUGGAUAUAAGUGAAGCUCGACAAAAUCACGGUGAGUGCAUGUCUCUCUCUCUAGGUGUGCAGAAAGGAUGAUUGUGACACAACAAAAAUAAAAGACUCCUACGAUACAAGAUGCUCCAAGAAAAACACAUAACAUGUGGUGAAUAAAAAUAUAGCCCCAAGUAACGUUACCGAUGGAUUGAAGACGAAAGAGGGGAUGCCUUCCCGGGGCAUCCCCAAUCUUAGGCUUUUACGGCAUCCUUGAAUCAUCUUGGGGUGCCUUGGGCAUCCCCAAGCUUGAGCUCUUGCCACUCUUUAUCUUUUUGUCCAUAAGAACUUCACCCAAAACUUGAAAACUUCACAACACGAAACAUAAACAGAAACUCGUGAUAACAUUAGUAUAAGAAAGCAAACCACCACUUCCUUCGGUAAUGUAGCAAACAUAAUUUCUACUUAUGUUGAUGUUGGGUUACUAUAUUUUCAAUCUUCUAAGGCUAAUACCCACCGAUACUAUCCAUAGUUUCAUCAAAAUAAGCAACCAACUCAACAAAAACAGAAUCUGUUAACAGCAAACCAGUCUGUAGCAAUUUGUAUACUCCGUAUACUUCUGGUAAUUCCAAAAUUCUGAAAAAUUACGAAAGUCUGAAGAAUUUGCGUAGAAAUCAGAAGCAAAAAAAAUUAACUCAAAAUAUCUUACAUAAAAAAAUGAAAAUUCUUUUCGUGAGCAGAAAGUUUCUGUCUUUUCUAGCAUGACCAAACGAUCAUCCCCAAGACUGAUCAUAACGGUUUUGCUUGGCACAAACGCAAAAAGAAACACAAAAAACACAAUCAUAACAAAAUUAUGAAAGUGUGGAAAACACAAAACAGAAAGAAAAAGGAUAGAUUCGUUGGGUUGCCUCCCAACAAGCACUAUUGUUUAACGCCCUUAGCUAGUCAAAAGGUGAUGGAAUCACGUAUAGUCAUCUUUGGUGCUCAAACCAUAAGUAGUGUGAUCAUUUAUCAUCUUAAGAUCUUCAUAUUUAUUGGAUGACUCACCACUAGCUUUAGGAACAAAAACAGUCUUGAUGGUCUUUUUGAGAGUGAGAUUUGGAGUAUUUUGCACAGCGGCAAAAGCGGAACCCAAGUUGGUUACGACAUCCUCUAGUUUACCAAUUCUAGAGGAAUCAUUAACUAUGGGUUCCUUCUCCCUUAAAUUUUUCAAGAACAUUCCCACUUUGGAUCCAUACUGAGUAAUUUGAUUGUGGAACUUUCUAUCCAAACUCUCAAUAAGUUCAACUGUAGCAAUUUUUUUAUCAAUAGCGUCAAGCCUUUUCAUCACGUGUUCCAAGGUCAAGGUAGUUUAAUUAAUCAUGAGCGGGGGUGAGCCAACCAAAUUCAUGAUAGCUCCAUAAGAGUCAAAGGUAUGGCUCCCCAAAAAAUUCCCGCCUACGAUGGUAUCAAGUAUAUACCUAUUCCAAGGAGAGAUUCCAACAUAAAAACUGCGAAGAAGAAUGGUAGUGGAUUGCUUACGAGUAGAUCUACUUUGAGCAUUGCAAAUCCGGUACCAAGCGUCCUUUAAAUUUUCUUCCUCAUUUUGCCUGAAAUUGAGAACUUCGUUCUCAGGGGUAUCGUUUGGAGUAGUGGGUCUAGCCAUUGAUGGACUAUCCCACACACAAACGAGCAGAAAGUAAGCGAGUGAAGCGAGCAAAAGAGAACGGCAAAGGAAGACGGCAAAAAGUCAAAAGGAAAUGGCAAAAGGGGAAAGACAAAAGAAAACGGCAAAUGUGAAGUGGGGGAGAGGAAAACGAGAGGCAACUGGCAAAAAAGGUAAAUACAAGAGAUGAUUUUGUGAGACCUACUUGGAUAGACUCUCCUUCCCCGGCAACAGCGCCAGAAAUACUUCUACUACUGCAAAAAAAGACCUUCCAACGGCGCCAGAAACAAGCGUGCUGACAGGAAACUAUUCUUGUCUUGAUACUCCUGAGCAACGGCACCAGGAAUCCUUCUGCUACGGCUACGCCUUUAGGGACUUCCUUGGCAAAUAUGCAAAGGAUUCCCCCGUGGCCUUGGAGCCUUGCGUUGGUGUUCCCUCGAAGCGGAAAGGGUGAUGUAGCAGAGCGGUGGUAAGUAUUUCCCUCAGUUUUGAGAACCAAGGUAUCUAUCCAGUGAAGGAUUGUCACAAGUACCUGCACAAACACAAAGAGCUUGCACCCAACGCUAUGAAGGGGUUGUCAAUCCCUUAUAGAUUGUUUGCCAAGUGAGAACUGAAAGCAAAAAAGAACCAAAGCAAAGUAAAAGCAAAAUUGGAAACGAUAGGUGUGCAUAGACCCGGGGGCCGUAGUGUUUAUGAAAGCAAGUAGACGGUGGAUGAACGAAUUACUGUCGAGCAAUUGAUAGAACCGCGCAAAGUCGUGACGUUAUCUAUGGCAAUGAUUAUAUCUAUAGGCAUCACAUCCAAAACAAGUAGACCGAUACUUUUUGCAUCUACUACUAUUACUCCACACGUCGACCGCUAUCCAGCAUGCAUCUAGUGUAUUAAGUUCAUGAGAAUAGAGUAACCCCUUAAGCGAGAUGACAUGAUGUAGAUGGACAAUCUCAUAUCUACAAUAAAAGCCCAUCUUGUUACCCUUGAUGGCAACAACACGAUGUGUGCCUUGCUGCCCCUUCUGUCACGGGAAAGUUCACCACACGGUAUGAACCCAAAACCAAGCACUUCUCCCAUUGCAAGAAUCAUAGAUCUAGUUGGCCAAACAAAACCCAAGACUUGGAGAGACUUACGAGGAUAUCAAAUCAUGCAUAUAAGAAAACAGUAAAGACUCAAAUAUAUAUCAUAGAUAAUCUGAUCACAAAUCCACAGUUCAUCGGAUCUCGACGAACAUACCGCCAAACAGGAUUACAUCGGACAGAUCUCCAUGAAGAUCAUGGAGAACUUUGUAUUGAAGAUCCAAGAGAGAGAAGAAGCCAUCUAGCUACUAACUACGGACCCGUAGGUCUGAAGUGAACUACUCACGAGUCAUUGAAAGAGCGAUGAUGUUGAUGUAGAGCCCUCCAACUCCAAAGUCCCCUCCGGCAGGGCACCGGGAAGGGUCUNNNNNNNNNNCUCGCGGACACGGAAGCUUGCGGCGGCGGAAAAGUGUGUUCGUGGAUUCUCCUAUUUUUUCUGUAUUUUAGGGAAUAUAUAGGCGAAGGAGCUAGGUCAGGGGGCGCCAGGGAGGCCACAAGCCUGGUAGCCGCCGCCCCCCUGGUGGCGGCUACAGGGCUUGUGGGUCCCCUGUGGCUCUCCUGCCUUGGCCCUCAAGUCCCCUGAUCUUCUUCCGUUCUGGAAAAUUUUAUUUCGGAGAUUUUAUUCCGUUUGGACUCUGUUCCAAAAUCAGAUAUGAAAAGAGUUAAAAAACAGAAAAAACAGGAACUGGCACUUGGCACUGAAUUAAUAAGUUAGUCCCAAAAAAGAUAUAAAAGGUACAUAAAACAUCCAAAGCUGACAAGAUAACAUCAUGAAACCAUCAAAAAUUAUAGAUACAUUUGAGACGUAUCAGUGGCCGCCGCUCCGUGUCGUAGAUCACAAUGGAAACUUCUCUUUGAUUUUUUGCUAAAUAUGCGAAUUUAUAGGACUAGAGAUAGGGUUGGGCGAGCCUCGUGGAGCCCACCACACAACAGGGUGCGACCUAGGGGGCGGCCUCACCAUGUUGCCUCGUGGCCAUGAGGAACACACCCCCCUCUGGCGCGUCUUUGCUUCAUAAUUCAUUAUAAUUGCUAGAAAAAAUUCACAAUGUUUUUUGUCCAAUUCCAAGAACUAUUAUUGAUGCACAAAAAUAACACCAAGGUAGUUCUGCUGAAAACAGCAUCAGUGCGGGUUAGUUUCAUUUAAAUCAUGCAAAUUAGAGUCCAAAACAUGAGCAAAAGUGUUUAUACAAGUAGAUACGUUGGAGAAGUAUCAGCCAUUGACAAGUAGGAACACCCGUGUACUGUCAGAAUGCUUUGAUAAUUGUUACGUGAUGUGGACGGCUAGGCUAAGGCACUACAUAUGUAGGGUGAAGAUGGUUCACAUAUGAAAUCAUGGCCCUCGGGCCCUAGUGGCAAGCAUUAAGCAUGGUAAGGUCAUAGGAACACUAUCACAGAACAUAGUGGAUACUAGGGAUCAAGAAAUAUCAAAAUAACUCGAUAACAUGACAAAUAUCGUCCAAUCCCAUCACCGUCCAGCUAGCAUACAAAGUAAGUACUCACUCCCGGUGGUGAGCAUUACGAUGGUCUUGAUGGAGAAGGAUUGGUGAUGACGACGGCAAUUAAUCUCCCUCUUCAGACCCUAAACGGACUUCAGAUCAUCCCCCUUGAAGAACAAUAGGAGCUGGCAGCGGCUCUGUCUCGUAGAACACAAUGAAAACUUCUCUGCUACUUUUCACCGGAAAUAGGAAUUUAUAGGAUUGGAAUUAGGGUAUAUGGAGCCACGAGGUGGUCACAAGCCAAGAGGGCACGCCUGGGGGGGGGGGGGGGGNNNNNNNNNNNNNNNNNNNNNNNNNNNNNNNNNNNNNNNNNNNNNNNNNNNNNNNNNNNNNNNNNNNNNNNNNNNNNNNNNNNNNNNNNNNNNNNNNNNNCGAAAGCAAAGUGUUUGUUUCUAGAAACGGAUCCUUUCUCGAGGAAAGGUUUCUCUCGAAAGAAUUGAGUGGGAGGGUGGUAGAACUUGAUGAGGUUAUUGAACCAUCACUUCAACCAGUGUGUAGCAGGGCGCAGGAAGUUGUUCCCGUGGCGCCUACACCAAUUGAAGUGAAAGCUAAUGAUGGUGAUCAUCGAGCAUCGGAUCAAGUUACUACAAACCUCUUAGGUUGACAAGGUCGCGUACUACUGCAGAGUGGUACGGUAACCCUGUCUUGGAGGUCAUGUUGUUGAGCAACAGUGAACCUACGAGUUAUGGAGAAAGCAAUGGUGGGCCCCGAUUCUGAAAAAUGGCUGGAAGCCAUGAAAUCCGAGAGAGGAUCCAUGUAUGAAAACAAAGUGUAGACUUUGGAAGAACUACUUGAUGGUCAUAGGACUAGUGAGUAAAGAUGGAUCAUUAAAAGGAAGACAGAUGAUGAUAGUGAUAAGUCACUAUUAAGAAAAGCUCGACUUGUCGCAAAGAUGUUUCUGACAAGAUCAAACAGUUGACUAUGAUGAGACUUUCUCACUCGUAGCGAUGCUGAAAGUCUGUUAGAAUUAUGUUAGUAGUUGCUGCAUUAUUUAUGAAAUAUUGCACAUAGGAUGUCAAAACAUUGUUUCCUCGACGGUUUCCUUGAGCAAACAUUGUAUGUGAUACAACCAGAAGGUUUUGUCGAUCCUAAAGAUACUAGCAAGUAUGCAAGCUCCAGUGAUCCUUCAAUGGACUGGUGCAAGCAUCUCGGAGUUAGAAUAUACACUUUGAUGAGAUGAUCAAAGAUUUUGGGUGUGUACAAGGUUUAUGAGAAACUUGUAUUUCCAAAGAAGUGAGUGGGAGCACUAUAGAAUUUCUGAUAGGAAUAUGUGGUUGACAUAUUGUGGAUCAGAAGUAAUGUAGAAUUUCUGUAAACCAUACAAGGUUGUUUGAAAGAAGUUUUCAAAGGAGUACCUGGAUUACGCUACUUGAACGUUGAGCAUCUAUGGAGAUAGAUCGAAAGCGCUUAAUAGAAGUUUCAACAAGAUGCAUGCCUUGACAAGUUUUUGAAAGAGUUCAAAAUAGAUCAACAAAGAAGGACUUCUUGGUUGCGUUAUGAGGUGUGAAUUUGAGUAAGACUCAAAAGCCGACCCCGGCAGAAUAAAGAGAAUAGACGAAGGUCGUCUUCUAUGCCUUGGCCGUAGAAUCUGAAGUAUGCCAUGCUGGGUACCGUACCUGAUGUGUGCCUUGACUCAAAGUCUGUUGAGAGGUAGAGAGAGUGAUCCAUGAUUGAAUCACUAGCAGCGGUCAAAAUUUAUCCUNNNNNNNNNNAGCCGUAGAAUCUAAAGUAUGCCAUGCUGUGUACCGCACCUGAUGUGUGCCUUGACUCAAAGUAUGUUGAGAGGUACAGAGAGUGAUCCAUGAUUGAAUCACUAGCAGCGGUCAAAAUUUAUCCUUAGUAACUGAUGGACUAAGGAAUUUUUCUCGAUUAUGGAGAGGUUAAAGAGUUCGUCGUAAAGGGUUACGUCGAUGCAAGCUUUGACACUAAUCCGAAUAACUAUGAGUAGUGAAACGGAUUCGUAUAGUAGAGUAGAUAUUUGGAGUAUUUCCAAAUAGCACAUAGUAGCAGCAUCUAUAAGAUGACAUAAAGAUUUGUAAAGAACACACGGAUCUGAAAGUUUCAGAACCGUUGACUAAAACCUCUCUCACGAGCAAGACGUGAUCAGACCCCAUAACUAUAUGGGUGUUGGAUUCGUUGGAAUCACAUGGUGAUGUGAACUACAUUAUUGACUCUAGUGCAAGUGGGAGACUGUUGGAAAUAUGCCCUAGAGGCAAUAAGAAAUUAGUUAUUAUUAUAUUUCUUUGUUCAUGAUAAUCGUUUAUUAUCCAUGCUAUAAUUGUAUUGAUUGGAANNNNNNNNNNNNNNNNNNNNNNNNNNNNNNNNNNNNNNNNNNNNNNNNNNNNNNNNNNNNNNNNNNNNNNNNNNNNNNNNNNNNNNNNNNNNNNNNNNNNAAAUGGUUGUUGUGGUUGUUGGGGGAAUGGUUGUGGUUGUAGAGGGAAUGAUUGUUGGGGAAUUAUUUGUUCUGAUUCCUGGGGAAAUGGUUGUUGCGGUUGUAGGGGGGAUGCUUGUUGGGGUCACUGCUGGGGGACUAGUUGGGGUUGGGGAAAUGGCUGUUGAGGUUGCAGAGGCUAUGAUUGUUGGGGUUGCUCGAAAAUUAUUUGUUGUGGUUGUUGGGGAAAUGGUUGUUGUGGUUGUUUGGGGAAUGGUUGUUGUGGUUGCAGAGGGAAUGGUUGUUGUGGUUGCUGGGGAAUUAUUUGUUGCGGUUGCCGCGAGACUGGUUGUUGUGGUUGCUGCACAAUUGGUUGUUGGGGCUGCGGAAAUGGUUGUUGUGGUUGCCAGGGGAAUGGUUGUUGUGGUUGCUGGGGAAAUGGUUGUUCAGGUUGGGGAAAUGGUUGUUGUGGUUGCUGGGGAAAUGGUUGUUGGGGCUGAGGAAAAGGUUCUUGCGGUUGCUGGGGAAAUGGUUGUUGUGGUUGCUGGGGUAUUAUUUGUUGUGGUUGCUGGGUGAAUGGUUCUUGUGGUUGGUAGGGAAUUGGUUGUUGGGGUUGGGGCAAUGGUUGUUGUGGUUGCGAGGGGAAUGGUUGUUGGGUCUGAGGAAAAGGUUGUUGUGGUUGCUGGGGGAAUGGUUGUUGUGGUUGCUCGGGAAUUAUUUGUUGUGGUUGCUGGGGGAAUGGUUGUUGUGGUUGCUGGGGAAUUGGUUCUUGGGGCUGGGGAAAUGGUUGUUGUGGUUGCCACGGGAAUGGUUGUUGGGGCCGAGGAAGAGGUUGUUGUGGUUGUUGGGGGAAUGGUUGUUGUGGUUGUAGGGGGGUUGGUAUUUGAUAUUGGGGAAACAAUUCCUCUGGUAGAUAGGGGAAAUAUUGUUGGGGUGUGGGAAAUGGUUGCUGCACUGGAAAUGGUUGUUGCNN